UUGCAGCAUCUUCCGUUGUUUACACGUCCGAGGAAGAACCAUCGGGGCUGGUUUCUUUGGUACGGAGAUCUGUAAAGAUAUGUCAGAACAGAGCAGGAGGUUGUCUGAUCACAUCUCUCUAUGUCCUUCUCUUGUCAACCUCUGUUUUCUUCGGUUUCUUCUCUGAUUCAACCAACUACUUAUUCAUUGCUUCUCUCUCACGCGAGCACCAAAGCUUCCGCAACCAAGCAGCGGUUCUGUUCCACGCGGUGGUGGUUCUGAUUCACGGUACUGUCUUCAUAGUACUGACUGCAAAGUUCAGCAAGUGGAGCGCAGGGUGGAACAUUGGUAUGGUGGUUUCGGUCUUAGAGGAGGAUGAAGAUGGUAAAGGCAUCUAUGGAACCGAUGCUCUGUCUAUCUCAGCUUGGUACGGAAGAGGACAUGAGAAGCGUGACAUAUGGUUGAUGUUGAUGUUCUUGGUCUUUGCUAUUGCGAUGAGGAUGCCAUGUUUAUAGUCCAAAUGCAGUGAGAAUUUGAAUGGAAAUGGAGUGUUGUACACGAGUCUCUAUGUGGGUUUGAUUUGUGUUGGAAAUGUAAUCAAAUGGGUAGCUUAUGUAGUGUGUUACUAUGAUUGUAGAGCUAGAGUUUUGGAGAAGAAGGAUGAUGUUGAGAUUGUAUCAAAAGCUAAGGCUUUUGCUACGUAGAUAAAUUGUUUUGAGAUCAUAAGUACCAAAGCUUGAAACUUUUGAUAAUUUCUCUAUCACCAAUUGCUUUGUCCGACAAUUUUGAUCAGCUCGUAAUUGCUUUCCUUAUUGAAGCUUGUGAUUGCUCGGUUUAAUAAGCCCUUAAGGUCAUUCCAAUUUAAUUUAUUGUUGUUUAUGUAUGUAUGUUCACAUCUCUAAACUCUUAUAAACAUGACAAAUAAGACAGUAAUUAAUUGGCACAAUUAGAAGGAUUAGUUACUGUAGAGUCAUUCCUCUUUUUCUUUGUUUCAGCAUUUGUACAGUAUAUACAAGUUUGAGCCACCUCUCACCAUAAUUAUCAGUAUUGUUAAUUUUGUUUGAAAAACCAAACAACAAGAGCAUAAGCACAAAAAGUAGAUCAAGAUGAGAGUCAAAUCUCUGUUUGAGUCAUAGAUGUGGUAGAGAAUCAUGAACUUAAAGGGUCUUAGUAAGACAGUACGAUCAUGCAAAGGAAUAAAACGAAGCUAAUCUCACUUAUAUUAUACUGUGGGAUCUGGUUCAAUCUCACGAAAAGGGGCCGAAGGCCCAAAAUGGGUUCAUUACGAAAGUUCAAGAAAAGCUGAGAAGGAGAUAAGAGUCUCUGGCUUGACCAGAGGGUUCAUAUUCUUUUGAACAAAGAUCAAGGAGGAGCCUAUUCAUCAUCUCUCUCAUAUGACGGCAUCAUGUUGCAGAACGUACGAGCACAAGAAGGGAAGCACGCGAGAGGUUCACGUGGUCUUGCAGUGCUCCCAAAAGAUAACGGAAGUUAAGCCGUAAUUGAAGGAAGAAUCCCGACAACUCUCUAGAAGUGCUGCGCAAGUUGUCGGGUAGAGUUCCAAGACUCAUCUCACUAAUAAAAGAGAUGAGGACUUCUGUUUCAAGGUUAACGAGUGAGAACAGAGUUUGUACGUUAGUGAGAGAGAGAGAGAAGUUGUAAGAACCCUAAAGGCUCAAGCUUUGAGCAAGUAACUUAGUGGAUUUCCGAGAUAUUCUCGGCGAGACGUAGGGCUUCCGGUUUGGGGCCUGAACUCGUAAAAUCUGGUGUGUUCUUUACAUUUCUUGCUCAAACACAAACAAACGAGAGACGUAGAGAGUUGAGAGAGAGAACUUCUUAUCUAAAGGUUUAUUCAAACGAUUAUUUAAGAAGCUCGAGAAAGUAGUCAACUUUAGAAGGUCUGAUUCUCACAAAUUGGUAUUAGAGCAGAGGUUUUCGACCUUGGAGCAAGUAACGCUUCAGGAGAUGUCGUCAAGCAAGACUGAGGUGGAAAAGUUUGAUGGAGAAGGUGACUACGUUCUCUGGAAGGAGAAACUACUAGCUCACCUUGAUAUACUUGGUCUAAUGGAAGGUCUCGGGGAAGCAGAAGAAACAACGGGGACCGGUGAGAAAGCUACGGAAACGGAGGGUGAAGUAACGCCGGCUCCAACAACAUCUGAACCUGAAGACAAGUCUCUCAAAGAGAAGAGAGGAAAGGCCAGAUCCACCAUCAUACUAAGCGUAGGAAACAAUGUUCUCAGGAAGAUUAUAAAAGAAAAGACAGCUGCAGGCAUGUUGAAGGUUCUAGAUCAGUUGUUUAUGGCAAAGUCUCUUCCAAACCGAAUAUAUCUGAAGCAGAGACUAUAUGGGUACAAGAUGAGUGAGAGUAUGACGAUGGAAGAAAAUGUCAACAACCUCUUCAAAUUGAUCUCAGAUUUGGAGAAUGUCAAAGUGACAGUUCCUGAUGAAGACCAAGCCAUAGUCUUACUUAUGUCACUGCCUAAACAGUUUGAUCAACUCAAGGAGACACUAAAAUACGGUAAGACUACUCUUCAUCUGGAAGAAAUUACUGGAGCCAUCAGGUCAAAGAUUCUGGAGUUAGGAGCAAACGGAAAGCUGUUGAGGAACAACUCAGACGGUUUGUUUGUUCAGAACAGAGGCAGAUUAGAGAAGAGGGAAAAUGGGACUGAGAAAAACAAGCACAAAAGCAGAUCGAAGUCCAAAGGAGGUGGAAAAACAUGUUGGAUUUGUGGAAAGGAGGGACAUUUUAAGAAGCAAUGCUACAUAUGGAAGGAAAGAAACAGAUCAAGGGAUUCUUCAUCAGAAAGAGGAGAAGCCUCGACUGUAAUCUCUCAAACCACAGAUGCAGCUGCGUUGGUAGCCUCAGACGCCCUUCUUGGUUUUGCUGAAGUGUCUCCUGACACAUGGAUACUUGACACAGGCUGUUCCUUCCACAUGACCUGCAGAAAGGAGUGGAUUCUAGACUACAGGGAAACCAGACAUGGGAAAAUCAGAAUGGGGAAUGAUACCUACUCGGAUGUUAAAGGUAUUGGAAACAUCAGGAUUCUCAAUGAUGAUGGAACUACCGUUCUGCUUACUCAAGUCAGAUAUGUACCGCAAAUGUCAAAGAAUCUGUUGUCCAUGGGAACACUUGAAGACAAAGGAUGCUGGUUCAAGUCAAGAGAUGGUGUUUUGACGGUUAUCAAAGAUGACAUAACUGUUUUAACAGGGAAGAAGCAGGACACAUUAUACUUCUUACAAGGAACCACAUUGUCAGGAGAAGCCAAUGUCACAGAGAAGGUGAAUGAUGAAACUCGCUUAUGGCACAGCAGGCUCGGGCACAUCGGUUCAAAGGGGUUGGAGAUGCUAGUCAUAAAGGGGUACUUAGACAAGAAUAGAGUAAAGGAGAUGCAGUUUUGUGAAGAUUGUGUAUAUGGGAAGACUCACAAAGUCAGUUUUGGGUCUGCAAAGCAUGUCACAAAGGACAAACUGGAUUAUGUGCACUCGGAUCUUUGGGGCUCUCCAUCAGUCCCAUUGUCGUUAGGCAAGUGUCAAUAUUUCAUCACCUUCAUUGACGACUUUACCAGGAAGACAUGGAUAUACUUCAUAAAGACUAAAGACAAAGCGUUCAGUAAGUUUAUGGAGUGGAAGACGUUAACAGAAAAUCAACAAGGCAAGAAGCUAAAGACCUUAAGAACCGAUAAUGGUCUUGAGUUCUGUAAACAAGAGUUUGAUACUUUCUGCAAACAGGAAGGAGUUGUCAGACACAGGACAUGUGCCUACACACCUCAACAGAAUGGGGUUGCAGAAAGAAUGAAUAGGACCAUUAUGAACAAGGUCAGAUGCAUGCUUAGUGAAUCAGGUAUGGGGAAACAGUUCUGGGCAGAAGCGGCUUCAACUGCGGUAUUUGUUAUAAACAAAAGUCCAACUUCCUCAAUUGAUUUCUCAAUACCAGAUGAGAAGUGGACUGGUCACCCACCGGACUACAAGAUGUUAAAGAGGUUUGGCUCAGUGACAUACGUACAUUCUGAUCAGGGCAAGCUGAAUCCUAGAGCAAAGAAAGGGGUUUUCUUAGGCUAUCCUGCGGGAGUAAAGGGUUACAGAGUUUGGCUUUUAGAAGAGAGGAAAUGCGUCGUGUCAAGAGAUGUUGUGUUCCAAGAAAGUUUGAUGUUUAAAACCAUUGAGAAAGCGAACACAACAGAAGCAGGACAAAUAAAUGCAGACUAAGAAAGAGUAAACAUCGAGCUGAGGGAAAUACACGAUGGAGGAGGAGCUGGUUCUGAGACAAAUGAAGAAGCCACUUCAAGCAGCUCAAGAACUGAGAAUUAUCAGGAUGACGAAAGCUCAGAAAGUGAGGAAGAAGAUUACAAUCUAGAAGACUACCAGUUGGCCAGAGACAGAUCACGUAGAAAGAUCAAAGUUCCACAUAGAUUCUUGGAAGAAGUAAACUUGGUGGGAUUUGCACUAACCACUACAGAAGACGGUGAAUCUCCAGAGCCAAAGUCUUUUCAAGAAGCGAUGGCAAGUGCUGAAUGGAAGGAAUGGAAGGAUGCUUCGGACGAAGAAAUAAAAUCACUGCACAAAAACAUCACCUGGACACUUGAAGACAAGCCAGCUUCAGGGAGAAUCAUCGGGUGUAAGUGGAUCUUCAAAAGAAAAGCAGGAAUUCCAGGUGUAGAACCUCCAAGAUACAAAGCUAGACAAGUUGCAAAAAGGUACUCUCAAAAGGAAGGAGUUGAUUACCAGGAAAUCUUCUCUCCUGUAGUCAAGCAAGUAUCAAUCAGGUAUCUGCUCUCAGUUGUAGUAAAGUUUGACAUGGAGCUGGAGCAAAUGGAUGUAAAAACAGCUUUCCUCCAUGGAGAACUAGAGGAACACAUUCUUAUGCAGCAACCUGAGGGAUAUGAGAUUGAGGGAGCACCAGAAAAAGUCUGUCUACUCAAGAAAUCACUCUACGGUUUGAAGCAAUCUCCAAGAAAAUGGAAUCAGAGGUUUGAUCGGUUUAUGCGAAGUGCAGGUUAUCUAAGAAGUCAGUAUGAUCAGUGCGUUUAUAUGAAGAAACAAAAUGAUGAGAAUCAUGUCUACUUGCUUCUGUACGUCGAUGACAUGUUAAUCGCAUCAAGUGAUAAAGGAGAAAUUCGGAAACUGAAAGAACUGCUUAACAAGGAGUUUGAGAUGAAAGACUUAGGUCCAGCGAGAAAGAUUUUGGGGAUGGAGAUCAGAAGAGACAGAGACAAAGGGAUCUUAGAGCUGUCUCAAGUAUGUUGAGAAGUUUCUUCAGGCGUACAAGAUGGAAGAGUGCAAGGCUGUCCAAACACCAUUAGGUGCUCAUUUCAAACUAAGAGCAGCUACAGAAGAGGUCCUUAAGCAAGACAGGGAACACAUGAAAAGGAUUCCAUACGCAAACGCCAUUGGAAGCAUCAUGUAUCUAAUGAUAGGAUCAAGGCCAGAUAUUGCAUAUACGGUUGGUGUGGUUUGCAGGUUCAUGUCAAAUCCCACAAAGGAGCACUGGCAAGCGGUGAAAUGGAUAUUAAGGUACAUAAGAGGAUCAAAAGGAGUGUGUCUGCAAUUCAAGAAGGGAGAUAAUGUUGAAAUAAAAGGCUAUUGUGAUUCUGACUACGCAACCGAUCCAGACAGAAGGAGAUCAGUCACAUGAUACGUCUUUACUGCGGGUGGAAACACAAUAAGCUGGAAAUCCAGAUUGCAGCCUGUUGUUGCACUCUCGACAACAGAGGCCGAAUAUAUGGCCCUAAAUGAAGCAGCCAAAGAAGCCAUAUGGCUGAAAGGAUUGGCAGAAGAGAUGGGAUUCAAGCAGAGUCUAGUGGAGAUAAUGUGCGAUUCUCAGAGUGCCAUUUCUUUGGCAAAGAACUCUGUCUUCCACGAAAGAACUAAACAUAUUGAUGUUAAGUUCAAGUUUAUCAGGGAAAAGAUUGAGGAGGGAAGGAUUCAAGUGAAAAAGAUCUCAACGAUCUGGAAUCCAGCAGACAUCCUCACCAAAAUUGUACCAGUGAGCAAGCUUCAAGAUGCCAUGAAGCUUCUCAGGGUCUCAAGUCACUAAGAGACCAAAGAUCCGAGAAUGGAAAUCAAGAAACACUAAGGAAUGUUGAAAUCUUGUGAGUUUAAACCAAGGAGGAGUUUUGUGGGAUCUGGUUCAAUCUCACGAAAAGGGGCCGAAGGCCCAAGAUGGGUUCAUUACGAAAGUCCAAGAAAGGCUGAGAAGGAGAUAAGAGUCUCUGGCUUGACCAGAGGGUUCAUAUUCUUUUGAACAAAGAUCAAGGAGGAGCCUAUUCAUCAUUUCUCUCAUAUGACGGCAUCAUGUUGCAGAACGUACGAGCACAAGAAGGGAAGCACGCGAGAGGUUCACGUGGUCUUGCAGUGCUCCCAAAAGAUAACGGAAGUUAAGCCGUAAUUGAAGGAAGAAUCCCGACAACUCUCUAGAAGUGCUGCGCAAGUUGUCGGGUAGAGUUCCAAGACUCAUCUCACUAAUAAAAGAGAUGAGGACCUCUGUUUCAAGGUUAACGAGUGAGAACAGAGUUUGUACGUUAGUGAGAGAGAGAGAAGUUGUAAGAACCCUAAAGGCUCAAGCUUUGAGCAAGUAACUUAGUGGAUUUCCGAGAUAUUCUCGGCGAGACGUAGGACUUCCGGUUUGAGGCCUGAACUCGUAAAAUCUGGUGUGUUCUUUACAUUUCUUGCUCAAACACAAACAAACGAGAGACGUAGAGAGUUGAGAGAGAGAACUUCUUAUCUAAAGGUUUAUUAAAACGAUUAUUUAAGAAGCUCGAGAAAGUAGUCAACUUUAGAAGGUCUGAUUCUCACAUAUACAAUUAAUGCCUUGGAUUUUUUCAACGUAUCUAUACUAUAAGGCUUAUAUCAACCAAUGUUUUUGCUCCUUUACCAUCUAAUUUAAUUACAAAAUAAAAGUGUAAUAAUUCAACUAGACUUGUGGACCAUAUCAGAACACUACAUACGGUGGCUUAGAUGAAGUCAAGAAGUCAACGUCAAUGAAGGACGGCGAUCUUUAAGUUAAUGGAAGCGUAAUUAAUACUUUUAUGUUCCCUCUACGACAGAGGCAGAACGAUGUUUGAUUUAUUAAGAAAGAGAGCGCCCGAAUCAAUAGAGAUGAAGAUGGACGAGAAGCUAAGUGUCAUCGAACUACUAAAACGAGCUACGAAGCUGCUCUUCGGUAACAUCAACCUCGCUUUCUUCCUCUUGCUCUGCUCUCUUCCACUGUUCUGUUUCUUGAUCUUAUUUGAGCUCUCCUUCCAAACAACCGUCUCUUUCACUUCCCAAUUCCUCUCCAAACAACUCGUUUUUGAGAAAGACUUGUCGGAGAAUGAUCUGAUUCUCCAAACCACCGUCUCUCUCACUUCCCAAUUGGUCUCCCAACAACACAUUUUUUGGGAGGACUUAUCAGAAAAUGAUCUGAUUCCAUGGCUGAUCCAUACAUCUCUGCUCUACUUCUUCUCUUACGCCUUUCUAGACCUCCUUACCACCACCAUGAUCGUUGCAUCAUCUUCGAUUGUUUACACAUCCGAGGAAGAACCAAUGGGGCUGCUUUCUUUAGUACGGAGAUCUGUCAAAAUAUGUCAGAACAGAGUACGAGGUUGUCUGAUCACAUCUCUCUAUGUCCUUCUCUUGUCAACCUCUGUUUUCUUUUUUUUCCUUCUUUUUUCCUUUUUGUUUUUCUUUGGUUUCUUCUCUAAUUGGAACAGCUUAACCAUAGUUCGUCUCUUACACCAACACCAAAGCUUCCUCGACCAAAUACCGGUACUGAUCCACGCAAUGGUGGUUCUGGUUCAAGG
RNAcentral lists this long non-coding RNA (7754 nucleotides) under Eutrema salsugineum. RNAcentral describes it as "long non-coding RNA (ESAL_LNC000598)". The record is from RNAcentral. Lineage: Eukaryota; Viridiplantae; Streptophyta; Magnoliopsida; Brassicales; Brassicaceae.